This 220-nucleotide ribosomal RNA is filed under the name uncultured bacterium. RNAcentral's name for it is "partial 16S ribosomal RNA". It matches the Rfam family "Bacterial small subunit ribosomal RNA", at positions 111 to 334 of the family's 1533-position model. The record is from RNAcentral.
UAAUGUAUGGGGAUCUGCCCGAUAGAGGGGGAUAACUACUGGAAACGGUAGCUAAUACCGCAUAAUGUCUACGGACCAAAGCAGGGGCUCUUCGGACCUUGCACUAUCGGAUGAACCCAUAUGGGAUUAGCUAGUAGGUGGGGUAAAGGCUCACCUAGGCGACGAUCUCUAGCUGGUCUGAGAGGAUGAUCAGCCACACUGGGACUGAGACACGGCCCAG